AUGGGAGUGUGACCAGGAGAGUAGUUGCUCCUCACCAGUGGAUGGUGGAUGGUGGAUGGUAGCGCUCGGGAGAAGUGGGGGGCUUUAAAGACAUGGGAGGUCCGAUGGGUUUUAUAGAGGAAGGAUUUGGAGGAGUAUAGGAAGAGAGGCAAGGAAGUGAGGUAGAGACAAACCUUAUGAUAUAGAGGUAAUGGAGGACCAGAGAGAAGGGGGAG
RNAcentral lists this long non-coding RNA (215 nucleotides) under Elaeis guineensis (African oil palm). Its description in RNAcentral is "long non-coding RNA (EGUI_LNC049626)". Lineage: Eukaryota; Viridiplantae; Streptophyta; Magnoliopsida; Arecales; Arecaceae. The record is from RNAcentral.